CCUACGGGAGGCAGCAGUGGGGAAUCUUGCGCAAUGGGCGAAAGCCUGACGCAGCAACGCCGCGUGCGGGAAGAAGGCUUUAGGGUUGUAAACCGCUUUCAGCAGGGAAGAAAAUGACGGUACCUGCAGAAGAAGGUGCGGCCAACUACGUGCCAGCAGCCGCGGUGACACGUAGGCACCAAGCGUUGUCCGGAUUUAUUGGGCGUAAAGAGCUCGUAGGCGGUUCAGUAAGUCGGGUGUGAAAACUCUGGGCUUAACCCAGAGCCGCCACCCGAUACUGCUGUGACUUGAGUCCGGUAGGGGAGCGGGGAAUUCCUGGUGUAGCGGUGAAAUGCGCAGAUAUCAGGAGGAACACCGGUGGCGAAGGCGCCGCUCUGGGCCGAGACUGACGCUGAGGAGCGAAAGCAUGGGUAGCAAACAGGAUUAGAUACCCUGGUAGUCCAUGCCGUAAACGUUGGGCACUAGGUGUGGGCAUCAACCAACGAUGUCCGCGCCGUCGCUAACGCAUUAAGUGCCCCGCCUGGGGAGUACGGUCGCAAGACUAAAACUCAAAGGAAUUGACGG
Molecule: ribosomal RNA, 564 nt
Filed under: uncultured Actinomycetes bacterium
Lineage: Bacteria; Bacillati; Actinomycetota; Actinomycetes
Description: bacterial SSU rRNA
Rfam family: Bacterial small subunit ribosomal RNA
Source: RNAcentral